CGCUGCCAACCCCGCUGUCCACGCCGCUCUCGGAGGUCGUUUCACUCUCGCAGUACGCCGCGGAUCGAAGGCGAAGGAGGUGAUAAGAUUUCUGUUGUUAGAGUCGCAGAGAUCCAUCGCCUUUGGUGAAGAAUUUUGAGCGAUGGGGAAGAAUGACUUCCUUACGCCGAAGGCGAUCGCGAACCGGAUCAAAGCAAAGGGGCUCCAGAAGCUGCGGUGGUACUGCCAGAUGUGCCAAAAGCAGUGCCGCGAUGAGAACGGCUUCAAGUGUCACUGCAUGAGCGAGAGCCACCAGCGACAGAUGCAGAUCUUUGGCCAGAACCCUAUGCGCGUCGUUGAGGGCUACUCUGAGGAGUUCGAGAGCACCUUCCUCGAGCACAUGAAGCGCAGCCACCGCUUCAGCCGUGUGGCUGCCACCGUCGUCUAUAACGAGUACAUCAAUGACCGCCACCAUGUCCACAUGAACUCCACCGAGUGGGCCACGCUCACCGAGUUCAUCAAACACCUCGGCCGCAAUGGCAAGUGCAAGGUCGAGGAGACCCCGAAGGGUUGGUUCAUCACCUACAUCGACCGAGACUCCGAGACGCUCUUCAAGGAGAGGAUGAAGAACAAGCGAAUCAAGGCCGAUUUGGUCGAGGAGGAGAAGCAAGAGCGCGAGAUUCAGAAGCAGAUCGAGCGGGCUGCCGAGCUGUUUGUGCCCCUCGCGACCGAGUCUCAGGCGGCCUCUGAGCCGGAAAAGGAAUUGAAAUCGGAGGCCGACGUUAAAGUCGGUUUCGCACUUGGCUCGACGGCGAAACCGAAACCGAAAGAGUUGGGGGAGAGCUCGAAAUUGGUGUUCGAUGAGGCGGAGAACGAUAAGAACGAGAAGAGAAAUCAAUCCGCGAAGAAUAAAUCGGUUUUGGAGGAGUUGAUGUGGGAGGAGGAGAUGAAGAAGGAGAGGAUUAACCGAAAGGACUAUUGGUUGAGCGAAGGGGUUGUUGUGAAGGUGAUGAGUAAUGCGUUGGCCGAGAAGGGCUACUAUAAGCAAAAGGGAGUGGUGAGGAAAGUGAUCGAUAAGUACAUUGGGGAGAUUGAAAUGCUUGAGAGCAAGCACGUGCUGAGGGUGGAUCAGGCGGAGCUUGAGACGGUGAUUCCGCAGAUUGGGGGGCUUGUGAGGAUAGUGAAUGGGGCAUAUAGGGGAGCGACUGCCAAGUUGUUGGGUGUGGACACGGACAGGUUCUGCGCGAAGGUGCAGAUUGAGAAGGGUGCUUAUGUUGGUAGAGUGCUUAAAGCUGUUGAGUAUGAGGAUAUUUGUAAAGUUGCCCAGUGAGUUCUCAUUUCAGGAGCAGAGCCCUAUACUCUCAAGCUCUAAUUAUACUGGUCUGAGGAGGCAGAAUUAUGAAAGACCAAGGAAACCUAUAAAGAGUUUGGGUUGGCUGAAAGGAUAAAGGACAUCAUGUUAGCAUAACCACUAUUGUCAUUUUAAAAAAUGAAAGUUCCUUUCUAUCCGACUU
Corylus avellana is the source of this 1493-nucleotide non-coding RNA. Lineage: Eukaryota; Viridiplantae; Streptophyta; Magnoliopsida; Fagales; Betulaceae. The record is from RefSeq and is a predicted model, not a curated record.